AAGUCGUAACAAGGUUUCCGUAGGGUGAGUUCUAAAACCUUAUCAAUUGUUACUAUACCGAUUUUCAGACGCUAACGUAUAUUCUAGUGAACCUGCGGAAGGAUCAUUACUGAGAUGGGGUCCUUUAGGGCCCGACCUCCAACCCUUUGUCUAAAUCAAAUAUACUGUUGCUUCGGCGGAGCGUUCUUUGGGAAAAGGACCGUCGGGCCCCGUAGAAAGGGUCUUUCGAGCCUCCGCCGAGGGUUUUUACCGUAAAUUCUUUACGAACCAUGUCUUCCAAGCUUGAUUUUACAAAUCUAAAAAGCAAAAACUUUCAACAACGGAUCUCUUGGUUCUG
This 337-nucleotide unclassified non-coding RNA is filed under the name air metagenome. RNAcentral describes it as "partial contains small subunit ribosomal RNA, internal transcribed spacer 1, and 5.8S ribosomal RNA". The record is from RNAcentral.